This 459-nucleotide ribosomal RNA is filed under the name Triticum aestivum (bread wheat). RNAcentral describes it as "partial small subunit ribosomal RNA". Lineage: Eukaryota; Viridiplantae; Streptophyta; Magnoliopsida; Poales; Poaceae. The record is from RNAcentral.
AUGGAGGCCGAGGCGGCCGCCGCCGCGGCCGCGGGGCAGCCGACGAAGAGGACUUUCCGCAAGUUCAGCUACCGCGGCUUCGACCUCGACGCGGUCCUCGACAUGUCCGCCGACAACCUCAUCCAGGUCCUCCCCGCCCGCGCCCACAGAAGGUUCUACAGGGGGUUCAAGAGGAAUUCAUUGAUGCUCAACAGGAGGCUGCGCAAGGCGAGAAUGGGGGCACCGGCUGGUGAGAAGCCCGGUGCCGUGAAGACUCAUCUGCGCAACAUGAUCAUCAUGCCAGAGAUGGUAGGCAGCCAGAUCGCAGUGUACAAUGGGAAAACCUUCAACCAGAUUGAGAUCAAGCCCGAGAUGAUUGGGCACCACCUCGCCGAGUUCUCCAUCAGCUACAAGCCCGUCAAGCACGGGAGGCCCGGCAUCGGCGCCACCCACUCCUCGAGGUUCAUUCCCCUCAAGUGA